AUGUGUUAUUUACCAAAGGGCUAGAAGACGCAGAGGUAUAACGGAAGUCCUGGUUGGGAGCCCGGGAAAACUGCACCCGGUGAGCUCAUUCGCUGGCUGACUUGGGCACGCCCCCUCGGAAGCUCAGUUUCCCCAUCCGUAAAACCUGGAGCCGCGCGGGAUGCCGUCCAGCGUGCCUUCCAGUCCCAAUCCCGCGCCCCUGGCUGGACGUGCAGGGAGCUCACCGCCCGGGAGAAGUGUCCAGGUGCGUUCGCCGAGCGGACCCGGCGCGUCCCACCCGGGGACCCCGGCCCGCGGUCGCGGACAGCGCCCCCGACGCCCCUCCCCCAGCAGGACUGCCCGCACUGGCUCCAGGCCCGUUAUUCCCUCGCCGCGGGCUACUCCCCCGGCCCGUGCCGUCCCCGGCCCUUCUCUCCGGGCUCACCUCUCUCGGGAGACCAGGUCGGGCUUCCGCAGCCACUCCGCAUGCAAAAGCGCCUCCGGGUACCUCACGGCCCCUCCGGAUCCACCGCGGCUCAAGCCCGAGGGGCACCGAGAACAAUGGACGGGAGAGGCCCGCCCCCCGCCGCGCUUAUUGGCCACCGAGAACGGCCCCUGGAAACCCUGCUCUCCUACUGGCUCUACUGAGGCGUCCGGGGAGGGAGGUUAGGCCGAGGGCAUUGUGGGAGUUGUAGUCCACCGCGGCUGCCGGGCCCGCGGGCUGGGAGAGCCGCGCAGGGUGGACUGUCCCGGCUGUACCGCAGGCAAAUCCGCGGACCGGCCCUCAGGACAGGACCCCAGGGUUGGCGAGAGCUGUGACCUAGAACGGGUCAUUUCACUUCCCUAAGGCCUCCGUGUACUUGCCUGUAAAAAAUGAAACUUGUGUGGAGGGGACUGCGUGGCAAGGCAUGUUUUAGGCGCCCCCAAGACUGUGCCCGGAACAGGCAGGAGUCGGCCCGAGGGAAGCACGCCCCUCCCCCCGGGGGCCCCAGCCCGGCGCCCCCUCCCCGAACCCACAGGUCCACGGUCGCACCUGGCCUCGGCACACCCCUUUGUUUUCGCACGUGGCGUCCCUGCUGCUGGAGGCAAGUCCCCGCCUCUGCUACGGAAGAACUGCCCCUGGUCUUCUUUGGUUCCCCUGGUCCUCUCGGAGCCUGGUCCGUCGUCACCUCCCCGGGCGCGGACGCCGCUCCCAGCGCCCCUGUUCCGCGGCUCCGUGUCGGUCACCGACCCCAGCCUUGCUCGCCGUGGGUCUCAGCACUGGGAGAUGAGAGUGGGAGGAGCUCGGCCUGUGUCCUGCGCGCAGAUGGCGCCCUCGAAGACAGGACUGCCCCAACGCCGCAUGCCAACAGGUGGGAAAUGCCGACAGGAUGUCAGCCUCUUCUCUCUUACGGGUUGAGCAGCGUGCAUCCUGGAUCCAGCAGUUACAGGAAACGCUAGAACCCAAGACAGCCUUCGUGGCCAGCGUGAGCCUGCAGGUGACUCGCCCAACAUCGGUGGACUUGGACGUGCCCCCCGAGGUCUCUUCCGUCUGCAGCAGCAGGGACCUGCUUGGCAGAGGGUGGAGGCGUGGAUGCUGGUGGGAGGCCGGGUACUGUGGGUCCCUGCCCUGCUGUGACUCGGAGCCUACUGCUUGCGCUCUGGCCGGGCAGCAAGGCCAGUACGGGAUUUCGGUGGCACAUAAAGUGAGCUUGGGGCGCAGGGGCACGCUGCCGUGUCUCACUGAUCCUGAGACGCACAUCUUGUUACCUUGUAGCAGCAUCACUGGAAGUCAGGACGCACCUUACAUUGCCAACAUGUCAGAGUUUCAUCGGCAGUUUUGUUCCCUUUCUAGCGGCACAUAGUGGCAUUUUAGAUGAAAUACGGUAACUUAUUUGGGCUGAGGUGUACCAGCCCGGCUCUUGAUAUCCUGGGCCCAGAAGUUCUCACAGAAGAGACACUCCCAUCUCCUGUGGGAACCACCCGUAACAGGAAGUAGAGCAAUGAACAAAUUCGUAAAUCAGGGGCCUCGGAUCCCUGUUGUAGGUAAUAAACAUUCACUGUAAUUAAUGUGACCGUUUGUGGCGCACAGGUAUCCGUGCUUGAUACUGUUUCUCAAAGUCAAGUCCAGGCUGUGAAACAAAAGUUCUUCCAUGUGCUCAUGGUGAGUCAAGGCCUUAGUGAAGGCAGAACUCCAUGUUGAAAUGAAUGCCUCAUCCACCUCAACAACAGCAGUUUUCCGCCCCUUUUUAAAAAACUGUGGGGCGCCUGGGUGGCUCUGUUGGUUAAGCCUCCGACUUCGGCUCAGGUCAGAU
This is an RNA transcript of Suricata suricatta (meerkat), 2273 nucleotides long. It is a transcript of the gene named serine/arginine repetitive matrix protein 1-like, with no coding region annotated. The transcript is spliced from 2 exons. NCBI's taxonomy places the organism in Eukaryota, Metazoa, Chordata, Mammalia, Carnivora, Herpestidae. The record is from RefSeq and is a predicted model, not a curated record.